This is an RNA transcript of Vitis vinifera (wine grape), 1240 nucleotides long. It is a transcript of the gene named triacylglycerol lipase 2, with no coding region annotated. The transcript is spliced from 8 exons. The record is from RefSeq and is a predicted model, not a curated record. Lineage: Eukaryota; Viridiplantae; Streptophyta; Magnoliopsida; Vitales; Vitaceae.
AUGGAUGUUCUUCUUAGCAAGCUUUGGGAUGAAAUGGGUGUUUCCAGAGACUAUGAGAAAUUUGCUCCUCAAAUGGAAGGAAGGUUAAGGGAAUGGAUAAGAAGAGACACCAUGUUCGGUGAAUGGCUCCCUUGUAUAUGGGUUGGGCUGGCGAGGUGGAAGAUGUUUUUUACGCAUUUGUUGGCAGAUAGUGGGUUUGAUGUGUGGAUUGCAAACACUCGUGGAACCAAGUAUAGCCGUGGGCAUACUUCGUUGGAUCCUGGGGACUCGGCUUUUUGGGAUUGGUCAUGGGAUGAGUUGGUAUCAUAUGACCUUCCUGCUAGCUUCCAGUAUGUACAUGACCAAACAGGACAGAAACUGCACUAUGUUGGGCAUUCCCUGGGUACUCUGAUUGCUUUGGCUGCCUUUUCCCAGAAUCAGCUGUCUUGCUUAGCCCAAUUGCUUAUGUGGGUCAAAUGACAUCCCCACUAGCAAGAAAUGCUGCUGAUAAUUUUAUAGCUGAAUCCUUGUACUGGUUGGGUCUCGAAGUGAACAGGGAUGCUGUAGUUAAUCUUCUAAAAGCCAUCUGCAAGAAACCCGGUGUUGACUGCACUGACUUGUUGACUUCUUUUACAGGUAAUAUCCAUGUUCUUGAUUUUCUAAUCAGCACUAUGUCUUUUGAAAAGGUCAUCUUCCAUAAUGACUUACAUUGUGUUGUAUCUGCGGGCCAAAACUGCUGCCUCAACUCUUCCAGUGUAGAUGUUUUUCUAGAGCAUGAGCCUCAAUCAACAGCAACAAAGAACACAAUCCAUCUAUCUCAGAUGAUCAGAGAAGGAACAUUAGCUAUGUACGACUACAAGGACGAGGAUGAGAACAUGGAACACUAUGGGCAGCCUACUCCUCCUGUGUACAACAUGACAACCAUUCCAAAUGACCUUCCUCUCUUCCUCAGCCAUGGUGGGCAGGAUGCACUUUCUGAUGUUAAUGAUGUGCAACUCCUGCUGGAAAGCCUCAAAGAUCAUGAUGGAGAUAAGCUUGUGGUGCAGUACAGAGAGGACUAUGCACAUGCAGAUUAUGUUAUGGCUUCCAAUGCCAAGCAAGCUGUGUAUGAUCCUCUCAUGGCUUUCUUCAAGCUUCAAUAAACUGGGAAAAAGUUUGUCAACUAUAGUCUGAUUUUGUUAUACAUUUUCCUUGGUGUGAAAAAUUGUAUUCCAACUGUCAUAGUAGCUUUUAUGCUAAUAAAGCUAAAUUUUUUGAGUUA